UCCUGGCACAUCCCCUCCGAGUGCAUCUCUAGAAUCCCAGAGAUAGAAGGGGCUUCAGACCAUCUUGUUCAAUACCUUCAAUUCACAAAUGGGAAAAAUGAAACCCACAGAGGAAAAAGAACUUAUCCAAAGCCACACAAUGACUCUCUAUAUCUGUGAAAUCACAGGACUGAGCAACAGCAACAAUGUCAAAAUCCCCAGGACCUAGGACAGUGCACUUAGCACAUGGCGGGCACUUCAUAAAUGCUCGUUUACUUGAACCGAAUCGAUCAGCCUUAUUCUGAGAAGAAAUCCACAGGACCCCAGAAGAAGUCCAGACCAGGGGGCCAGGACACAAAAGAUGACAGCAUCCCUGUAUUAAACAGUCAGUGCUUGCGGAAAGAAUCUGAGGACCUGGAUUCAAAUCCUGCCUACUUGACAUUGGGCAAGUGAC
Molecule: non-coding RNA, 433 nt
Organism: Phascolarctos cinereus (koala)
Lineage: Eukaryota; Metazoa; Chordata; Mammalia; Diprotodontia; Phascolarctidae
Source: RefSeq, a predicted model, not a curated record